Molecule: ribosomal RNA, 459 nt
Filed under: uncultured bacterium
Lineage: Bacteria
Description: partial 16S ribosomal RNA
Rfam family: Bacterial small subunit ribosomal RNA
Source: RNAcentral
CCUACGGGAGGCAGCAGUGAGGAAUAUUGGUCAAUGGGCGCGAGCCUGAACCAGCCAAGUCGCGUGAGGGAAGACUGUCCUAUGGAUUGUAAACCUCUUUUGUCUGGGAGCAAAAGACGCCACGCGUGGCGUUCCGUGAGUACCCGAAGAAAAAGCAUCGGCUAACUCCGUGCCAGCAGCCGCGGUAAUACGGAGGAUGCGAGCGUUAUCCGGAUUUAUUGGGGUUAAAGGGUGCGCAGGGGGAAGGUAAAGUCAGCGGUAAAAUAGGGAGGCUAAACCUCUUAGAGCCGUUGAAACCGGUUUUCUUGAGUGAGUGAGAGGUAUGCGGAAUGCGUGGUGUAGCGGUGAAAUGCAUAGAUAUCACGCAGAACUCCGAUUGCGAAGGCAGCAUACCGGCGCUCAACUGACGCUCAUGCACGAAAGUGUGGGUAUCGAACAGGAUUAGAUACCCGUGUAGUC